GACGAACGCUGGCGGCAUGCCUAAUACAUGCAAGUCGAGCGAACAGAUGAAGUGCUUGCACUUCUGACGUUAGCGGCGAACGGGUGAGUAACACGUAAGGAAUCUACCUAUAAGCGGGGGAUAACAUUCGGAAACGGGUGCUAAUACCGCAUAGUAUCUUCUUCCGCAUGGAAGAAGAUUGAAAGACGGCUCUGCUGUCACUUAUAGAUGACCUUGCGGUGCAUUAGUUAGUUGGUGGGGUAAUGGCCUACCAAGACGAUGAUGCAGAGCCGACCUGAGAGGGUGAUCGGCCACAUUGGGACUGAGACACGGCCCAAACUCCUACGGGAGGCAGCAGUAGGGAAUCUUCCGCAAUGGGCGAAAGCCUGACGGAGCAAUGCCGCGUGAGUGAAGAAGGCCUUCGGGUCGUAAAACUCUGUUAUAAGAGAAGAGCAAAUUGUAGAGUAACUGCUACAGUCUUGACGGUAUCUUAUCAGAAAGCCACGGCUAACUACGUGCCAGCCGCCGCAGUAA
Molecule: ribosomal RNA, 513 nt
Filed under: uncultured bacterium
Lineage: Bacteria
Description: partial 16S ribosomal RNA
Rfam family: Bacterial small subunit ribosomal RNA
Source: RNAcentral